This is a long non-coding RNA of Amblyraja radiata (thorny skate), 398 nucleotides long. RefSeq lists it as uncharacterized. The transcript is spliced from 3 exons. Lineage: Eukaryota; Metazoa; Chordata; Chondrichthyes; Rajiformes; Rajidae. The record is from RefSeq and is a predicted model, not a curated record.
UACAGGGAUGAGUAUGCAAUUGUUUCUCAGCAUUGGUGAUCUAUCACAAAUGAAAAUAAGAUCUGUGUUCUGAGGAGUUCAUAUUUGCCUCCAUACUGGUUCCAAAGGCUGCUCAAGUUGAGUCUUUGAAUAUGGUUCAAUGGUUCUUUAUUGUCACGUAUGCACAGCACAGAGGAAAUUUGCCAUAUUUUGUCACCAAAGAGAGUGUUGCCCAAUGUGGGGUUCAAACCCAUGACCCUGAGAUUAAGAGUCCCCUGCUCUACUGACUGAGCUAGCUGGGCUAUGUCAUAAGUAGAUGGAUACAUUAGGGCUAAGGAGGUGAAUGGUUAAUGGGGAUAUAUGGGAAUGUGGAGAUGAGGUUACAAUCAGAACAGCCAUGAUCUAAUUAAAUAUUUUGG